AAUUUAAUUUACAAUAACAAGAGGGCCCCCGAAUAAACAAAAGUAAAGAGGACUGUGAACCUACAGUUUGGAAAAUGCAGAUCCAACGGUAGUCCUCGAUGAGAUCAGCUAUCUACAGCUUAUACUGAACCUGAAAUGGGUGGAAAGAAGGGUGGUGAGAUUAUAAAAUCCCAAUGAGUAAACAGACAUCAUCAUAAAUAUCUAGAGUUGAGUACAUGGAGACAAUAAAAUCAAUCAUCGUAAACUAGGUCACAGCAUUAGAAUACAUUUCAUUUAAAAUAUGUAAAGAGGCUUAUGAAUUUCAUAAAAACUAGACUUGUGCCAUAAAUCCAUUCUCAGGGACACCUUGGCCUAGGCAUCCUACCGAGACCGCCAAGGCUAUUAAAAUUCACAUUUCACAUAAAUCAUGUUUUUGUUUUGAAAACAUAGCCGUUCCUUGGCGUUGGCUGAGUUCCCCCUCACGUGGUGGUUUAGCGUGAAGUGAACUCUAAAAUUUACCCCAGGAGAUACCCUACGCCCCUCUCCAUUCUAGGUAAGAAUAUAAUGGGGUUUACUGUGCCCCUUUAAAAGGCUGGUCCACAGAAACCCCUUACUGCAGUGAUUAAUUAAUAUAUAAUCCACCAUACAACAAAACUCAAUAACAUGAUAUGGUAAUUUUGUAAUUCGCAGUCUUUCAAGGCAACCAAACAAUUCGUAUUUCAAUACAAUUGCCAACUAGCCAAUCAUGCCCGAUUUAUCAUAAGCCAAUCAAUUUAAAUAAUCAAAUUACCACAAUUAACAGUCUCCGUGUACUUUAUUUUUCAAAAUCAUUAUUAAUUUCAAAACAAUUUAUAAUUUAAUUUAAUUGAAACACAUUUAUUCAUAAAACAUGAAAUUUUACCUUUUUAAAUUCCUUUUUCCAUAGAAUUCAUGAAAUCCCCUCAAAACUACUCUAGAUAAUUAAAAUGACAGUAAGUUUACUCACAAUGUCUAGAAUGCAGACUUUCGACGCACUCUGUCUACUGGUCCUCGGAUGCAAUUUCCUUGCCUUUAUUGGAGGACUCACCACAUUGACACAGUACAAAAUCGAGAAAUUCACUACAUUGGUACUAAAUUGAAAUUAAACAAAUUUAGACUAUUAAUGCAUAAUAUGGAAUGCAAAAAUGCACUGGUAACUAUCUAAACUCGGUAUUGGCCUAAUUCGUCUUAUCACCCGAUUAAAUUACUAACGCGUCCAAUUUAAUCCCAAAUUAAUUUUUUUCAAUUUCUAUACCUCAAUUGCACCCAAAUUAACUUAAUGUCCCUAAGUGUGGUGCAAAUUAUCAGUCUCGACAGCAAAUUACGAAAAUACCCCUAGUGGGUAAAAAUUCGUAUUUUUGCUCCAAAAAUUCUCAUUAUUUUUCUAGGCUCAUAAUUCAUCAUUUCUUAACCAAUUCUCCUAGAAUAAAAAUCAAACUCAUCCUCACUCAUACAUGGUAAAUUCGGCCAUUAAUGGUUUUGGGAGAAAAUAAAUUCUUUUCUUAUUGUUUUGUUUCUAAAUAUGCUAAACUAACUAAAAACACUAACAUAACUUAAAAUCAAAUUAAUCUAACAACUUUCUCUCUCCUAACCCAUUUUGAUCAGCCAACAAUUCAUCAUAAAAACUUGUAAUUUAAGCAUGGAAAAUAAGGAGAAAUGCUUAAGGAGAAUAGAUUUCAAGCUUAAGUUGAAAAAUCCUACCUUUUUCACUUGUUUUCCUUGAUUUUCCACACUUUUUCUCUUGAAAUUCCUCACCUAGGGUUUGUUCUUCCUCUCUUUCUCUCUCUU
Molecule: long non-coding RNA, 1785 nt
Filed under: Theobroma cacao (cacao)
Lineage: Eukaryota; Viridiplantae; Streptophyta; Magnoliopsida; Malvales; Malvaceae
Description: long non-coding RNA (TCAC_LNC005404)
Source: RNAcentral